Molecule: ribosomal RNA, 903 nt
Filed under: uncultured Streptococcus sp.
Lineage: Bacteria; Bacillati; Bacillota; Bacilli; Lactobacillales; Streptococcaceae
Description: bacterial SSU rRNA
Rfam family: Bacterial small subunit ribosomal RNA
Source: RNAcentral
GCUGAAGAUUGGUAUUUGUACCGAUUGGAUGAGUUGCGAACGGGUGAGUAACGCGUAGGUAACCUGCCUGGUAGCGGGGGAUAACUAUUGGAAACGAUAGCUAAUACCGCAUGACAGUUGUGAUUGCAUGAUGACAACUUAAAAGGGGCAAUUGCUCCACUAUCAGAUGGACCUGCGUUGUAUUAGCUAGUUGGUGGGGUAACGGCUCACCAAGGCGACGAUACAUAGCCGACCUGAGAGGGUGAUCGGCCACACUGGGACUGAGACACGGCCCAGACUCCUACGGGAGGCAGCAGUAGGGAAUCUUCGGCAAUGGGGGCAACCCUGACCGAGCAACGCCGCGUGAGUGAAGAAGGUUUUCGGAUCGUAAAGCUCUGUUGUAAGAGAAGAACUGUAGCAGGAGUGGAAAAUCUGCUACUUGACGGUAUCUUACCAGAAAGGGACGGCUAACUACGUGCCAGCAGCCGCGGUAAUACGUAGGUCCCGAGCGUUAUCCGGAUUUAUUGGGCGUAAAGCGAGCGCAGGCGGUUAGAUAAGUCUGAAGUCAAAGGCUGUGGCUCAACCAUAGUUUGCUUUGGAAACUGUUUAACUUGAGUGCAAGAGGGGAGAGUGGAAUUCCAUGUGUAGCGGUGAAAUGCGUAGAUAUAUGGAGGAACACCUGUGGCGAAAGCGGCUCUCUGGCUUGUAACUGACGCUGAGGCUCGAAAGCGUGGGUAGCGAACAGGAUUAGAUACCCUGGUAGUCCACGCCGUAAACGAUGAGUGCUAGGUGUUAGGCCCUUUCCGGGGCUUAGUGCCGCAGCUAACGCAUUAAGCACUCCGCCUGGGGAGUACGACCGCAAGGUUGAAACUCAAAGGAAUUGACGGGGGCCCGCACAAGCGGUGGAGCAUGUGGUUUAAUUCG